AGUGAACGCUGGCGGUAGGCCUAACACAUGCAAGUCGAACGGCAGCACAGUAAGAGCUUGCUCUUACGGGUGGCGAGUGGCGGACGGGUGAGGCAUACAUCGGAAUCUACUUUUUCGUGGGGGAUAACGUAGGGAAACUUAUGCUAAUACCUCAUACGACCUACGGGUUAAAGCAUGGGAUCUUCGGACCUUGCGCGCUUUAAUGAGCCGAUGUCGGAUUAGCUAGUUGGCGGGGUAAAGGACCACCAAGGCGACGAUCCGUAGCUGGCCUGAGAGGAUGGUCGGCCAAACUGGGACUGAGAACAGGCCCAGACCCCGACGGGAGGAAGCAGGAGGGAAUCUUCGGCAAUGGGGGCAACCCUGAACGAGCAACGCCGCGGGAGGGAAGAAGGUUUUCGGAUCGGAAAGCUCUGUUGUAAGUCAAGAACGGGGGUGAGAGUGGAAAGUUCACACGGUGACGGUAGCUUACCAGAAAGGGACGGCUAACUACGUG
RNAcentral lists this ribosomal RNA (493 nucleotides) under uncultured bacterium. RNAcentral describes it as "partial 16S ribosomal RNA". It matches the Rfam family "Bacterial small subunit ribosomal RNA", at positions 29 to 507 of the family's 1533-position model. The record is from RNAcentral.